Molecule: ribosomal RNA, 453 nt
Filed under: uncultured bacterium
Lineage: Bacteria
Description: partial 16S ribosomal RNA
Rfam family: Bacterial small subunit ribosomal RNA
Source: RNAcentral
AGCGAACGCUGGCGGAAGGCUUAACACAUGCAAGUCGAACGCUCCUAGCAAUAGGGGAGUGGCAGACGGGUGGGUAACGCGUGGGAACAUACCCUUUGGUUCGGAAUAACUCGGCGAAAGCCGUGCUAAUACCGGAUAAGCCCUUUACGGGGGAAAGAUUUAUCGCCGAAGGAUUGGCCCGCGUCCGAUUAGCUAGUUGGUGAGGUAAUGGCUCACCAAGGCGACGAUCGGUAGCUGGUCUGAGAGGAUGAUCAGCCACACUGGGACUGAGACACGGCCCAGACUCCUACGGGAGGCAGCAGUGGGGAAUAUUGGACAAUGGGCGCAAGCCUGAUCCAGCCAUGCCGCGUGAGUGAUGAAGGCCUUAGGGUUGUAAAGCUCUUUCGACGGGGACGAUAAUGACGGUACCCGUAGAAGAAGCCCCGGCUAACUUCGUGCCAGCAGCCGCCGUAA